Molecule: ribosomal RNA, 587 nt
Filed under: uncultured bacterium
Lineage: Bacteria
Description: bacterial SSU rRNA
Rfam family: Bacterial small subunit ribosomal RNA
Source: RNAcentral
UCCUACGGGAGGCAGCAGUGGGGAAUAUUGGACAAUGGGGGCAACCCUGAUCCAGCCAUGCCGCGUGUGUGAAGAAGGCCCUCGGGUUGUAAAGCACUUUCAGCGAGGAAGAACGCCUAGCGGUUAAUACCCGCUAGGAAAGACAUCACUCGCAGAAGAAGCACCGGCUAGCUCCGUGCCAGCAGCCGCGGUAAUACGGAGGGUGCAAGCGUUAAUCGGAAUUACUGGGCGUAAAGCGCGCGUAGGUGGCUUGAUAAGCCGGUUGUGAAAGCCCCGGGCUCAACCUGGGAACGGCAUCCGGAACUGUCAAGCUAGAGUGCAGGAGAGGAAGGUAGAAUUCCCGGUGUAGCGGUGAAAUGCGUAGAGAUCGGGAGGAAUACCAGUGGCGAAGGCGGCCUUCUGGACUGACACUGACACUGAGGUGCGAAAGCGUGGGUAGCAAACAGGAUUAGAUACCCUGGUAGUCCACGCCGUAAACGAUGUCGACCAGCCGUUGGGUGCCUAGCGCACUUUGUGGCGAAGUUAACGCGAUAAGUCGACCGCCUGGGGAGUACGGCCGCAAGGUUAAAACUCAAAUGAAUUGACGG